This 484-nucleotide ribosomal RNA is filed under the name uncultured bacterium. Its description in RNAcentral is "partial 16S ribosomal RNA". It matches the Rfam family "Bacterial small subunit ribosomal RNA", at positions 30 to 507 of the family's 1533-position model. The record is from RNAcentral.
AUUGAACGCUGGCGGCAGGCCUAACACAUGCAAGUCGAGCGGAUGAAGGGAGCUUGCUCCUGGAUUCAGCGGCGGACGGGUGAGUAAUGCCUAGGAAUCUGCCUGGUAGUGGGGGAUAACGUCCGGAAACGGGCGCUAAUACCGCAUACGUCCUGAGGGUGAAAGUGGGGGAUCUUCGGACCUCACGCUAUCAGAUGAGCCUAGGUCGGAUUAGCUAGUUGGUGGGGGAAAGGCCUACCAAGGCGACGAUCCGUAACUGGUCUGAGAGGAUGAUCAGUCACACUGGAACUGAGACACGGUCCCGACUCCUACGGGAGGCAGCAGUGGGGAAUAUUGGACAAUUGGCGAAAGCCUGAUCCAGCCAUGCCGCGUGUGUGAAGAAGGUCUUCGGAUUGUAAAGCACUUUAAGUUGGGAGGAAGGGCAGUAAGUUAAUACCUUGCUGUUUUGACGUUACCAACAGAAUAAGCACCGGCUAACUUCGUG